GAUGAACGCUGGCGGCGUGCCUAAUACAUGCAAGUCGAGCGAACGGACGAGAAGCUUGCUUCUCUGAUGUUAGCGGCGGACGGGUGAGUAACACGUGGAUAACCUACCUAUAAGACUGGGAUAACUUCGGGAAACCGGAGCUAAUACCGGAUAAUAUUUUGAACCGCAUGGUUCAAAAGUGAAAGACGGUCUUGCUGUCACUUAUAGAUGGAUCCGCGCUGCAUUAGCUAGUUGGUAAGGUAACGGCUUACCAAGGCAACGAUGCAUAGCCGACCUGAGAGGGUGAUCGGCCACACUGGGACUGAGACACGGUCCAGACUCCUACGGGAGGCAGCAGUAGGGAAUCUUCCGCAAUGGGCGAAAGCCUGACGGAGCAACGCCGCGUGAGUGAUGAAGGUCUUCGGAUCGUAAAACUCUGUUAUUAGGGAAGAACAUAUGUGUAAGUAACUGUGCACAUCUUGACGGUACCUAGUCAGAAAGCCACGGCUAACUACGUGCCAGCAGCCGCGGUAAUACGUAGGUGGCAAGCGUUAUCCGGAAUUAUUGGGCGUAAAGCGCGCGUAGGCGGUUUUUUAAGUCUGAUGUGAAAGCCCACGGCUCAACCGUGGAGGGUCAUUGGAAACUGGAAAACUUGAGUGCAGAAGAGGAAAGUGGAAUUCCAUGUGUAGCGGUGAAAUGCGCAGAGAUAUGGAGGAACACCAGUGGCGAAGGCGACUUUCUGGUCUGUAACUGACGCUGAUGUGCGAAAGCGUGGGGAUCAAACAGGAUUAGAUACCCUGGUAGUCCACGCCGUAAACGAUGAGUGCUAAGUGUUAGGGGGUUUCCGCCCCUUAGUGCUGCAGCUAACGCAUUAAGCACUCCGCCUGGGGAGUACGACCGCAAGGUUGAAACUCAAAGGAAUUGACGGGGACCCGCACAAGCGGUGGAGCAUGUGGUUUAAUUCGAAGCAACGCGAAGAACCUUACCAAAUCUUGACAUCCUUUGACAACUCUAGAGAUAGAGCCUUCCCCUUCGGGGGACAAAGUGACAGGUGGUGCAUGGUUGUCGUCAGCUCGUGUCGUGAGAUGUUGGGUUAAGUCCCGCAACGAGCGCAACCCUUAAGCUUAGUUGCCAUCAUUAAGUUGGGCACUCUAAGUUGACUGCCGGUGACAAACCGGAGGAAGGUGGGGAUGACGUCAAAUCAUCAUGCCCCUUAUGAUUUGGGCUACACACGUGCUACAAUGGACAAUACAAAGGGCAGCGAAACCGCGAGGUCAAGCAAAUCCCAUAAAGUUGUUCUCAGUUCGGAUUGUAGUCUGCAACUCGACUACAUGAAGCUGGAAUCGCUAGUAAUCGUAGAUCAGCAUGCUACGGUGAAUACGUUCCCGGGUCU
This 1372-nucleotide ribosomal RNA is filed under the name uncultured bacterium. RNAcentral's name for it is "bacterial SSU rRNA". It matches the Rfam family "Bacterial small subunit ribosomal RNA", at positions 28 to 1381 of the family's 1533-position model. The record is from RNAcentral.